UGAGGAAUAUUGGGCAAUGGACGCAAGUCUGACCCAGCCAUGCCGCGUGAAGGAUGAAGGCGUUCUGCGUUGUAAACUUCUUUUAUAAGGGAAGAAACCUGGAUUUUCUAAUUCAGCCGACGGUACCUUAUGAAUAAGCACCGGCUAACUCCGUGCCAGCAGCCGCGGUAAUACGGAGGGUGCAAGCGUUAUCCGGAUUCACUGGGUUUAAAGGGUGUGUAGGCGGACUGUUAAGUCAGUGGUGAAAUCUCCGGGCUCAACCCGGAAACUGCCGUUGAUACUAUCAGUCUUGAAUUCUGUUGAGGUGGGCGGAAUACAUCAUGUAGCGGUGAAAUGCUUAGAUAUGAUGUAGAACACCGAUUGCGAAGGCAGCUCACUAAGCAGCGAUUGACGCUGAGGCACGAAAGCGUGGGGAUCAAACA
RNAcentral lists this ribosomal RNA (422 nucleotides) under uncultured Edaphobaculum sp. Its description in RNAcentral is "bacterial SSU rRNA". It matches the Rfam family "Bacterial small subunit ribosomal RNA", at positions 355 to 774 of the family's 1533-position model. Lineage: Bacteria; Pseudomonadati; Bacteroidota; Chitinophagia; Chitinophagales; Chitinophagaceae. The record is from RNAcentral.